Molecule: ribosomal RNA, 475 nt
Filed under: Dicranoses congregatella
Lineage: Eukaryota; Metazoa; Arthropoda; Insecta; Lepidoptera; Cecidosidae
Description: partial 16S ribosomal RNA
Source: RNAcentral
AAAGGGCUGCAAUAUUUUGAUUGUACUAAGGUAGCAUAAUAAUUAGUUUAUUAAUUGAAAACCUGCAUGAACGAUUGGAUAAAAUAUAAACUGUUUCAAUUUAAUAUAAAAAAUUUAAUUUUUUAUUUAAAAAGAAAAAAUAAUAAUAAAAGACGAGAAGACCCUAUAAAGUUUUAUAAUUUAAUUUUAUAUUUAAUUAUUUAUAUAAUAUAAAUUAAUAAUUUAUUAAAUUAUUUUAUUGGGGUGAUAAUAAAAUAUGAAUAACUUUUAUUUUAAUAUAACAUAGAUUUAUGAUUUAUUGAUUAAUUUUUUUUAUCAUAAGAUUACCUUACUUUAGGCAUAACAGCAUAAUUAUAUUUUUUAGUUUGUAUAAAAAGUAUAGAUUGUGACCUCGAUGUUGGAUUAAAAUUAAAAUUAAAAUUAAAAAUUUAAUAUUUUUGAUCUGUUCGAUCAUUAAAAUUUUACAUGAUCUGAG